GAUGAACGCUGGCGGCGUGCCUAAUACAUGCAAGUCGAGCGAACGGACGAGAAGCUUGCUUCUCUGAUGUUAGCGGCGGACGGGUGAGUAACACGUGGAUAACCUACCUAUAAGACUGGGAUAACUUCGGGAAACCGGAGCUAAUACCGGAUAAUAUUUUGAACCGCAUGGUUCAAAAGUGAAAGACGGUCUUGCUGUCACUUAUAGAUGGAUCCGCGCUGCAUUAGCUAGUUGGUAAGGUAACGGCUUACCAAGGCAACGAUGCAUAGCCGACCUGAGAGGGUGAUAGGCAAAAAUGGAAAUGAGAAAAGGUCGAGAAGCCUACGGGAGGCAGAAGUAGGGAAGAUGAAGCAAGGGGCGAAAGAAUGACGGAGAAAAGAAGCGUGAGUGAUGAAGGUCUGAGGAUCGUAAAACUAUGUUAUUAGGGAAGAACAAAUGUGUAAGUAACUAUGCACGGCUUGAAGGUAACUAAUAAGAAAGAAAAGGCUAAAUACGUG
Molecule: ribosomal RNA, 497 nt
Filed under: uncultured bacterium
Lineage: Bacteria
Description: partial 16S ribosomal RNA
Rfam family: Bacterial small subunit ribosomal RNA
Source: RNAcentral